Non-coding RNA from Anas platyrhynchos (mallard), 1291 nucleotides. NCBI's taxonomy places the organism in Eukaryota, Metazoa, Chordata, Aves, Anseriformes, Anatidae. The record is from RefSeq and is a predicted model, not a curated record.
CCCGAAGAGAUAAUCAUCGCCUGCUGACAAUCACUUGCCAUCAGUUAUCCACACGCGGCUGCUGGCGAUGAAUCACGGCCCCUACCUGGUGGGAGAGGCGCCGCUGGUGCCACUGAGGCAUUUCGCCAGUAAUGUAUAACGGGGGAGGACGUCAGACGCUCUUUCCAGACAGCCUGAGAGAUUGAUAUUCAAGCCAAAGGGAAAUGCAUUAAACUAUUUAACUGCCUGGAAAUCCAGCGUGAUGAACAUCCAAAGGGAACUCCUGGGGACUCCUUCCUAAAAACCAGCAGUGGCCUGAUAUCAGCAUGGUUUUACUGGCCGUAACGCCAAGCACAGCUGGGUGCUCAGAAGGACCAAAGCCGUUCUCCCAGCCCUCGGAGCUUCUGCUGCCCCGCGGUGUGCUGCUCUAGGUGCUGUCAAACGAGCAAAUCGUGGCCGUCCCUCUUCCUGAGGAUAUCAGGACAGCAGACGGAAAAUAUUCCUCAUUGGAGCCCCAGUAUUUGACAGACAAAACAAUAAUCUUCCUAUUAAGCACAUCAAGCAGCCAGGUAAAGGGAGGCUUUGCUGGCAUCGCCCAGGAUGCUCUGAUGACAGCUCCUGGACUUGAGUGAGGGCUUUGAAGCACAGCGAGGGGCUUUCUGACACAACCCUUGGCGGAGGGGAUGCUCCUGAGGACACACAACAUGCUGCAAGAGGAAGACUAAUUUUAUCAAAAUUAAGUACUCAAAUGGUGAUGAAAUCAAGUGCUCACAAGCUGCCUGUCUCACCCUUCAGUGCCGCUGCAACUUGCGUAACAUGGAACAAAUGGAGCUGAGGAGGUCACGGCCCUCCAAGCAGCUCCAGGAAAUCCUUAUCUGCUGUGAACCUCAUGGGUUUGGCCACCUGCUUCUCAGCUGUCCUGAAGUACUGAGGAACUACUUCCUCAAAUGAUGUUGGGAUCGUCUACAGGGGCUCCACAUCUCUGUACUUCAGUCAUCUCAAAGCAGCCAAAAACUGGGUCAGGGCAAUGAUCCAAAAUUUUAGUGGUGAGCCUCCAAAAUUCAAGACACUCAGGGAAUGUGUGUUGGGGAAUAAUAUGAGAAUUCUGGAAAAAAAAAAUAGAGAAGAGAGUAUUUAAUUUGUACCCAAUACUGAUAUUUCAAAAUUUGGUAGUCAGUUUGGAACAAAACACAGCUGUUUGUUUUAAAUCCCUGUGAAAGCCGAGCCAGUUGCCUUUGAGCCUCAGACGCUGUCUGAACCCAUAGGUUUCUAACUUGCCACAAGGCAAUCCAUACGGUUGGCUGCUUCAAAU